RNAcentral lists this ribosomal RNA (402 nucleotides) under bacterium. RNAcentral describes it as "partial 16S ribosomal RNA". It matches the Rfam family "Bacterial small subunit ribosomal RNA", at positions 355 to 776 of the family's 1533-position model. The record is from RNAcentral.
UGGGGAAUUUUGCACAAUGGGGGAAACCCUGAUGCAGCGACGCCGCGUGAUGUAGAAGGCCUUCGGGUUGUAAAAAUCUUUUCUAUGGGAAGAAAAUGACAGUACCAUAGGAAUAAGGACCGGCUAAUUACGUGCCAGCAGCCGCGGUAAUACGUAAGGUCCGAGCGUUGUCCGGAAUCAUUGGGCGUAAAGGGUACGUAGGCGGGUAAGCAAGUUAGAAGUGAAAUCCUAUAGCUCAACUAUAGUAAGCUUUUAAAACUGCUCAUCUUGAGGUAUGGAAGGGAAAGUGGAAUUCCUAGUGUAGCGGUGAAAUGCGCAGAUAUUAGGAGGAAUACCGGUGGCGAAGGCGGCUUUCUGGCCAUAACCUGACGCUGAGGUACGAAAGCGUGGGUAGCAAACAGG